RNAcentral lists this small nucleolar RNA (107 nucleotides) under Thalictrum thalictroides. RNAcentral describes it as "Plant small nucleolar RNA R71". It matches the Rfam family "Plant small nucleolar RNA R71". From Rfam's summary of the family: R71 is a member of the C/D box family of snoRNAs containing the C (UGAUGA) and D (CUGA) box motifs. Multiple nearly identical copies of this snoRNA have been identified in Arabidopsis, and it is thought to function as a 2'-O-ribose methylation guide for 18S ribosomal RNA. The record is from Rfam by way of RNAcentral. Lineage: Eukaryota; Viridiplantae; Streptophyta; Magnoliopsida; Ranunculales; Ranunculaceae.
AUUUGAUGAUGUGGGCAUUGUAUUUGAAGGUCAUUAAAUCUAUCCCAAGCUUCAUAAAAUUCUUCAUUAAGUUUUUGUCUAAAUGUGUGAAUUCUAUUACGAAUAUC